Molecule: ribosomal RNA, 2115 nt
Filed under: Vulcanimicrobiota bacterium
Lineage: Bacteria; Bacillati; Vulcanimicrobiota
Description: partial 23S ribosomal RNA
Rfam family: Bacterial large subunit ribosomal RNA
Source: RNAcentral
AAUAACUCAAGUAAGAGCACACAGGUGGAUGCCUUGGCACUAAGGCCGAUGAAAGACGUGGUAACCUGCGAUAAGCUCCGGGGAGCUGGCUACAAGCGACGAUCCGGAGGUUUCUGAAUGGGGCAACCCGACUGGACUAAAUCCAGUCAUCCUCGAGUGAAAAAGAUAGCUCGAGCGAAGGGCACGCGGGGAACUGAAACAUCUAAGUACCCGCAGGAAAGGACAUCAACCGAGACUCCGCUAGUAGUGGCGAGCGAACGCGGAAGAGCCUAAACCAACGCAGCGUGAUUCACGCCAGUGUUAGCUGCGAUGGGGUCGUAGGAAUGCGCUUCUUCGAUCUGGCGGUCGAAGCGGAAGUUACAAAAUCGGACGUUAGCGGAACCGACCUGGAAAGGUUGGCCAUAGAGAGUGAUAGCCUCGUACGCGAAAACAUACCGAUCUUCCGUGCGCGUUUCCUGAGUACCGCGGGGCACGAGAAACCCUGUGGGAAUCUGGGUGGACCAUCAUCCAAGGCUAAGUAUUCCUUAGUGACCGAUAGUGAACCAGUACCGUGAGGGAAAGGCGAAAAGAACCCCGGGAGGGGAGUGAAAGAGAACCUGAAACCGUGUGCUUACAAACCGUGAAAGGGCUAUGUCGCCGCUGGGCAACCAGUAGCGAAACGCCUAAUUGCGUGCCUUUUGUGUAAUGAUCCGGCGAGUUAAUGGUGCAGGCAAGGUUAAGGGCAUGAAACCCGGAGCCGUAGCGAAAGCGAGUCUGAAAUGGGCGACACAAGUCUGUAUCAUUAGACCCGAAACUGGGUGAUCUAUCCAUGGCCAGGCUGAAGCGCAACUAAACUUGCGUGAAGGGCCGAACCUGUCGUUGUUGCAAAAACGUUGGAUGAGCUGUGGAUAGGGGUGAAAAGCCAAUCGAACCCAGAGAUAGCUGGUUCUCCCCGAAAUAGUUCUAGGGCUAGCCUCGGAAUUUAACCCGUAGGGGUAGAGCACUGACAGGGCUAGGGGCCUUACCAGGUUACUGAACCCCAUCAAACUCCGAAUACUACGGCGUAUACUCCGGGAGUCAGACAGUGGGGGAUAAGCUCCAUUGUCGAGAGGCAAACAGGCCAGAUCGUCAGCUAAGGUCCCCAAGACAUGGCUAAGUGGGAAAGGAAGUAGGACCGCAAUAACAACCAGGAGGUUGGCUUAGAAGCAGCCACCCUUGAAAGAGUGCGUAAUAGCUCACUGGUCGAGUGGUUCUGCGCCGAAAACGUAACGGGGCUCAAGCCAUGCACCGAAGCUACGGGUUUAACGGCGCGCAAGCGCCACGUUAAGCGGUAGGGGAGCGUUCUGUGAUAGGCUGAAGCGCGACCGUAAGGACGCGUGGACGAAACAGAAGUGCGAAUGCCGGAAUUAGUAGCGUAAAGUGGGGUGGGAAACCCCACCGCCGAAAGUCUAAGGUUUCCUGGGCGCUGUUUAUCAUCUCAGGGUUAGUCGGGACCUAAGCCGAGGCUGAGAAGCGUAGGCGAUGGACAAGCCGUUCAUAUUCGGCUACCACCGAUCCCGUUUGAUUCUCGCUUUAAUGUAGCCACGGGCCGCAAGGUCCGUAGUUGCCUUAAGGUUUGAAUCGUGAAGCGAAGGCGUGACGCAGGAAGUUAAUCCAGCACCCUAUCGGAUGGGUGUUUAAGCAAGUAGGGUGGGUUAUAGAUAAAUCCGUGACCCGGCGCGAGCCAAAGCCCGAGAUGCGAUGACGAGCCAAAGUAAUGCGGCGAAGUGGAUGAGACUCAACUGCCAAGAAAAGCGUCUAGCAAGGGUCAUUGGUGCCCGUACCGCAGUCCGACACCGGUAGACUGGCAGAGCAUGCCAAGGCGACGAGAGAACCCCUGUUAAGGAACUCGGCAAAUUAGCCCCGUAACUUCGGGAAAAGGGGUGCCCUAGUAGCGUACACGCACUUGCUGUGGUGGCGCGAAAGGGUCGCAGUGAAUAGGCCCAAGCGACUGUUUAACAAAAACACAGGUCUCUGCAAAAGCGAAAGCUGACGUAUAGGGGCUGACGCCUGCCCGGUGCUGGAAGGUUAAAAGGAGAUGUUAGCUGCAAGGCGAGGCAUUGAAUUGAAGCCCCAGUAAACGGCGGCCGUAACUAU